RNAcentral lists this ribosomal RNA (2262 nucleotides) under Hyphodiscus hymeniophilus. RNAcentral describes it as "eukaryotic LSU rRNA". The stretch from base 487 to 2262 matches the Rfam family "Eukaryotic large subunit ribosomal RNA", at positions 1 to 1432 of the family's 3401-position model. Lineage: Eukaryota; Fungi; Ascomycota; Leotiomycetes; Helotiales; Hyphodiscaceae. The record is from RNAcentral.
GGAUCAUUACAGAGUUCGUGCCCUAACGGGUAGAUCUCCCACCCUGUGUUAUUAUUACCAUGUUGCUUUGGCGGGACGUAGAGGCUCGCCCUCUCCACCGGCUUCGGCUGGUGUGUGACCGCCAGAGGACCCAAAACCCUGAAUAUUAGUGUCGUCUGAGUACUAUAUAAUAGUUAAAACUUUCAACAACGGAUCUCUUGGUUCUGGCAUCGAUGAAGAACGCAGCGAAAUGCGAUAAGUAAUGUGAAUUGCAGAAUUCAGUGAAUCAUCGAAUCUUUGAACGCACAUUGCGCCCCUUGGUAUUCCGGGGGGCAUGCCUGUUCGAGCGUCAUUACAACCCUCAAGCUCGGCUUGGUAUUGGGCUCUCGCCGUUCACGCGGCGGGCCUUAAAAUCAGUGGCGGUGCCGUCGUGGCCCUGAGCGCAGUAAAUAUCCUCGCUAUAGGGACCCGGUGGUUACUGGCCAGCAACCCCCAACUUUCUAAGUUUGACCUCGGAUCAGGUAGGGAUACCCGCUGAACUUAAGCAUAUCAAUAAGCGGAGGAAAAGAAACCAACAGGGAUUGCCUCAGUAACGGCGAGUGAAGCGGCAACAGCUCAAAUUUGAAAUCUGGCUCUUUUAGGGUCCGAGUUGUAAUUUGUAGAAGAUGCUUUGGGAAUGGUUCCGGUCUAAGUUCCUUGGAACAGGACGUCAUAGAGGGUGAGAAUCCCGUAUGCGACUGGUCGCCUGCCCCGUGUAAAGCUCUUUCGACGAGUCGAGUUGUUUGGGAAUGCAGCUCAAAAUGGGUGGUAUAUUUCAUCUAAAGCUAAAUAUUGGCCAGAGACCGAUAGCGCACAAGUAGAGUGAUCGAAAGAUGAAAAGCACUUUGGAAAGAGAGUUAAACAGUACGUGAAAUUGUUGAAAGGGAAGCGCUUGCAACCAGACUUGCACGUAGCUAAUCAUCUGGUGUUCUCACCGGUGCACUUGGCUAUGUUCAGGCCAGCAUCGGUUCAGGUGGUGGGAUAAAGGCCUUGGGAAUGUAGCUUCUUUCGGGGAGUGUUAUAGCCCUCGGUGCAAUGCCGCCUACCUGGACCGAGGACCGCGCUUCGGCUAGGAUGCUGGCGUAAUGGUUGUAAGCGACCCGUCUUGAAACACGGACCAAGGAGUCUAACAUCUAUGCGAGUGUUUGGGUGUCAAACCCAUACGCGUAAUGAAAGUGAACGGAGGUGAGAACCCUUAAGGGUGCAUCAUCGACCGAUCCUGAUGUCUUCGGAUGGAUUUGAGUAAGAGCAUAGCUGUUGGGACCCGAAAGAUGGUGAACUAUGCCUGAAUAGGGUGAAGCCAGAGGAAACUCUGGUGGAGGCUCGCAGCGGUUCUGACGUGCAAAUCGAUCGUCAAAUUUGGGUAUAGGGGCGAAAGACUAAUCGAACCAUCAGACUUGCUACUAGGUGGUUGAGAGACGCGCGAAAAGCGUGGAUCUAGCUCUGUGCAGUGAGCAACAUUAUCAAAUUGCGGGGACCUCCUGUUAACAUCCAAUGCUACCGCCGCUCCGUCGAAAGUCGAGCUGGCACCGGGUUAGUGACCCUGGGUAUGGUAAUAACGCAUUGGAUAUACGGAAAAUCCGCAGCAAACUCCCUACGGGUGCGUCCUACGGGGUCUGUCCACAGACUAAAUGAUAAUGGGUACCGUCAAAUACGGUGCUUAAGAUAUAGUCGAUCCCCCGGGAGACCGGGCCUUGGGAUUCCCAAGGGAGACACUCGUGUCUCGGGGAAGCACCUCUUACGAGGCCGCUUCAAAUGCUAGUAGCUGGUUCCUGCCGAAGUUUCCCUCAGGAUAGCAGUGUUGAAUUCAGUUUUAUGAGGUAAAGCGAAUGAUUAGAGGCCUUGGGGUUGAAACAACCUUAACCUAUUCUCAAACUUUAAAUAUGUAAGAAGUCCUUGUUACUUAAUUGAACGUGGACAUUCGAAUGUACCAACACUAGUGGGCCAUUUUUGGUAAGCAGAACUGGCGAUGCGGGAUGAACCGAACGGGAAGUUAAGGUGCCGGAAUGUACGCUCAUCAGACACCACAAAAGGUGUUAGUUCAUCUAGACAGCAGGACGGUGGCCAUGGAAGUCGGAAUCCGCUAAGGAAUGUGUAACAACUCACCUGCCGAAUGAACUAGCCCUGAAAAUGGAUGGCGCUUAAGCGUACUACCCAUACUUCCCCGCCAGGGUAGAAACGAUGCCCUGGCGAGUAGGCAGGCGUGGAGGUCAGUGACGAAGCCUUGGGGGUACCCGGGUAGAA